This 504-nucleotide unclassified non-coding RNA is filed under the name Hevea brasiliensis (rubber tree). The record is from RNAcentral. Lineage: Eukaryota; Viridiplantae; Streptophyta; Magnoliopsida; Malpighiales; Euphorbiaceae.
UACGAAGGGGAGGUUCACGCCAUCAUGGGAAAGAAUGGUUCUGGAAAGAGCACAUUUGCAAAGGUACUUGUUGGGCACCCAGAUUAUGAGGUUACAGGCGGUAGUAUUCUGUUUAAAGGAAGUGAUUUGCUUGAAAUGGAACCAGAAGAAAGGUCGCUUGCAGGGCUAUUUAUGAGUUUUCAGUCCCCGGUUGAGAUUCCAGGUGUUAGCAACAUUGACUUUCUAAAUAUGGCUUACAAUGCACGGAGAAGGAAACUUGGUCUGGCAGAGCUGGGGCCAAUUGAGUUUUAUGCAUACAUCUUCCCCAAACUUGAUCUUGUGAACAUGAAGACAGAUUUUCUCAAUCGAAAUGUGAAUGAAGGGUUUAGUGGUGGAGAAAGAAAGCGUAAUGAGAUCUUACAACUUGCGGUUUUGGGUGCAGAGAUGGCUAUAUUAGACGAAAUAGAUUCUGGGUUGGAUGUUGAUGCACUUCGUGAUGUAGCAAAAGCAGUGAACGGGCUUUUG